RNAcentral lists this unclassified non-coding RNA (278 nucleotides) under uncultured fungus. RNAcentral describes it as "partial contains small subunit ribosomal RNA, internal transcribed spacer 1, and 5.8S ribosomal RNA". The stretch from base 1 to 73 matches the Rfam family "Eukaryotic small subunit ribosomal RNA", at positions 1759 to 1831 of the family's 1831-position model. Lineage: Eukaryota; Fungi. The record is from RNAcentral.
GCAAACUUGGUCAUUUAGAGGAAGUAAAAGUCGUAACAAGGUUUCCGUAGGUGAACCUGCGGAAGGAUCAUUAACGAAAGCUUCGGCUUUCUUGAUGUUGCAACCCUUUUGAUGACCAACCCUUUGUUGCUUCCACUGGUCCCGCAAGGGCCGCCGGUGGAUGGCUGAAUAUCACUAUUCUUUUGUGAAGUGAGUUACGGUACCUGUCUGAAGAAAGCUUCAAAUUAAAAACUUUCAACAACGGAUCUCUUGGCUCCUGCAUCGAUGAAGAACGCAGC